This is a long non-coding RNA of Hippocampus comes (tiger tail seahorse), 316 nucleotides long. RefSeq lists it as uncharacterized. The record is from RefSeq and is a predicted model, not a curated record. Lineage: Eukaryota; Metazoa; Chordata; Actinopteri; Syngnathiformes; Syngnathidae. The transcript is spliced from 3 exons.
UUUUUAGCUCAACCGCUCAGUGUGGUCCUGAGCACAUGGGCUGAAAACAUGUCUGGUAAACGGAAGCAAAUCUCGUUGUCUGUGAAGGCUGAUAUCGUCUCUCACUUUCGAAAGGGAGUCUCCCAGACGAAGCUCAGACGAGACUACGAACUGGUCAACGAUUUCGACAAUCAUCCGUAAUGGCAACAAAAUCAUGGCAGAGUUCGAGGCCCGAAGAUGAUUAUAAACGGCUUCAGGGCGCGGCACAUCCUAAACCAUAGAAGACACUUUUCAUUUGCUGACUAAAUGUUUUCUUCAUGCUGUAUACACAUUUUGU